This 1241-nucleotide long non-coding RNA is filed under the name Apteryx rowi (Okarito brown kiwi). RNAcentral's name for it is "lncRNA (ENSARWG00000003157.1)". Lineage: Eukaryota; Metazoa; Chordata; Aves; Apterygiformes; Apterygidae. The record is from RNAcentral.
CAGUCUCAUCUCACCCCACCCUUUAUUUUCUUCUCCAGGAGGAAAAUGUUUCCCCAGCGCUGCUGGCAUCCUUAGCAGGACAGAUCCGGUGGGGGAGUUGUGCUGGGGGUCAGGCAGAGAGAUAGUGUUAUGGGCUGGGACGGGACGCUGGGCUUUCUUUCAGUACAGUGAGUUCAGGUCGUUACUCAGCCAGAGGUUUUUCCGUGUGACCUUAGGCUUGUCUUUUAUACCCCCAUCUGCCUCAGUUUUCCAGCAGUUAAGUGGAAUAAUACUUUUCUCUUUAGCUGUUUGGAUUGUAAGCUUUUUGUGCAGAAGCUGUUUCUCCUUGUGCUCUUGUACAACACCUAACACACCUGACCUUGCUGCGUCUGCUCCAGUGCUAUCCCUUUUAAGGAGAGAGAGCGGGUGCGUGUCCUCCAGUCUCCGCUCAGGGUCAGCCGGUUCCUCCUCCUUUGGAUUUUCAGUCAGAACAGUUGUACCAGGCUCGAGAAGGUUCAUAUGUCACUUCUGAAUGGAGUCCAAGGUAAUUAAUCCUCCAUGUGGGCCCUCAACGAAGGGAGAUGCUUUCCAUGGCCUGGAACCAGUCAGUGAUAGCUUCACCUCCAGGAGUAGCACGAAAUUUCAGGGGACCCAGCUGAGGGAUUUGACAAAAUCGGUGAGGCUGUGGUUUGUUCUCUCUUGUCAUUCAAUAGUCCUGAGCCGCUUGUUGGUGCGAGGCCUGCCAGCAAUGAUGGAGAGACCUGCUCAGCUCUUGGCAAUGACAUUUUUUGCGCAGCCCCAAACCCAGAGCUCUCCUGUAAUGCUCACUGUUCCCUUCUGCAUCCUACUCUACAGCUGUGGUGCUGCCCGGUCCCAAUGUCUGGACGUGACCUUGUGGGCAGCAGAAGCUGCUUGCAGGUUUUUCAGGCCUCCAGCAAGGUUAUCCAGAAAUGAGAGAACUCUAGCAGAAAAGCUUGCCUCACCAGAUAAAAGCUGGAGGAUUUGGCUUUGUCUCAAAGUCUUGGAUCUAAUUGAAAUACUUCAAGAGCGAACAUGGGCACUGGGUCAACUGUGUGGUCCUUGAGCCUUAGGACCCUUGCAAAAUACAUGCUGUGUGCAGGCUUCGGUGUGCCCUGAAGCCUCUAACCCACUAUUUCCAUGUAAAUUGAACUUGUAAUUUUUGUCAAGAGAGAUUUAAUGAAGAGAAGUCUGCGGCGUUCUUCAGGAAUAAAAAGGAGCAUAUUGGGAAACCUGAACUGGCA